This 666-nucleotide long non-coding RNA is filed under the name Microcebus murinus (gray mouse lemur). Its description in RNAcentral is "lncRNA (ENSMICG00000048262.1)". Lineage: Eukaryota; Metazoa; Chordata; Mammalia; Primates; Cheirogaleidae. The record is from RNAcentral.
UGCCCUUGGGUGUGGUUAAAUAUUAAUAUCAGAAGUUUCACAUAUGUCUUAUUCUCUUUCAUAACUUUCCCCCUUCUUCUUUUCCAGGAUAACACAUACCGUGCUGGCCACUUUCAAAUGUCACUUCUGCAAGAAGCCUUCCUUGAUCCCCCACAUAAUUUCACUGUAAAAUCCCAUACAUUCUUUGGAGUUCAGCACUACUUUUGUAAUACUACUUACUACCUGUUCUACUACUAACAACCACAACCACAAUUGCUUACAGAGAAAUUACUUUGUGCCAGGAAAUAUUUCACCAUCAAAAGAACACUCUGAGCAGACUGUCUCCUUUUCUGGUUUGAUGAAACAAGCAGCCAUGGUUCAUGUGGCAAGGGCCACAGCCCAACAUCCCUGGAGGAAAUCAAUUUCACAAACAACCACUGAGUUUGGAGGUAGAUCCUUCCCCCAUGGAAUCUAGACUGUGAGAGAACCUGAAGCAGAGGACCCAUUUCAGCCAGCCCGGAUUCCCAACCCACAGAAACUGAGGUAAUAAAUGUGUGUCACUUUAAGCCACUGAGUUUUAGAAUAAUUUGUUAUGCAGCAGUAGAUAACUAAUCCAGAUGGUGUCAAACAGAAAGUAGGUGGAUGGUAAGGGUAGGUGGUAUUUUAGAAAGAGUUCUGGGAGUGGGG